This is a long non-coding RNA of Capsella rubella, 1195 nucleotides long. RefSeq lists it as uncharacterized. The transcript has 12 exons. The record is from RefSeq and is a predicted model, not a curated record. NCBI's taxonomy places the organism in Eukaryota, Viridiplantae, Streptophyta, Magnoliopsida, Brassicales, Brassicaceae.
UUGUUGGCCAUGGAUGAUACACCAUUACACAAUGAGCCAAAGUGAAGAGCCGAGAUAGUUUUAUUCAUUAGAUUGGUGGAUUUGAGGAGAUUGCUUGCAGAUCAAACUCAAAAGGCCAAGGUUUUCAACAGUUGAUUCAGUAGGAGUUGAUGAGUAUGAGGAAUCAGAAGUAGAAGGCACUUUCACACCUGGUCGACAUAACUACAUCAUCAUGUACUUACUAAGAGAGAAGGGUUUCAAUGGCUUUUGUCGACAUAAUUACAUCAUCAGCGGUUUUCUUGUGUUUUCUUGCAUGUGUAUAUGAUUCAGCUGCUGAUCAGUUUGGAAAUCGUUGACGAGGUGUUGAACAGCUGAUUCAGAAGGAGUUAACGAGUCUGAGGAAUCCGAAUUAAAAGGAACUACACAUGGAGCGUCUUAGAGGGUGAAGAAGAUCGAAUCAAUCCUAAUAGCAACAAAGAAGAAGCCAUACACUUUACAGUAAGGCUUGGCUUGGUCACCUAUGAAAUUUCGGCUACUACUAACUUUUGGUUGGCGAGAGUAUAUGAUCCUAUCUUGGCCAAGAAAGAUGAUUCGCUCGCCUACAACCAUGUUGCUACAUUGAAAACUAACAAGUUACCAUGGAAGAUACACAAGGAGCCAAGUGAAGAGCCGAGAUGUUUGUUCAAUAGACUGGUGGACUCAAGGAGGCUGCUUGCAGAUCAAACGCAAAGGCCAAGAUUGUAGACGAUGAGCUAGUGAAAUUGAUGGCUGGAGGAGAACUAUCUGACUACACUUUGCUAACUCAGUUCCUACAUAAGUAUGGUUGGCUAAUCUCCAAGGAGUUGGAAAGACAACGGUGUGCGCUAAACUAGCUUUUUACUUACAGAAGCAGCAGGUAAUGCGUUUUCAAAAUACAGUGGAGAUAUUUUUAUUUCAAUGUAGAGAUAAGAAUCACAUGAGCCAUUUUGACAAAGCUAGAUGGUGAUUUCAAGAGCUGCUGCUGCUUUGAGUGUGAAGGAGGAAGCAAGCAGAAAGUUUUUGUCUUCAUGAAAAUCCUGUAGGCUUCAGAUGCAGAGCCUCUUGUUUAAGGUGGCAAUGCAGGAAGCCUGAUGCCGCAAGUGCAAAGGUUUAUUCCGGAACAGCAGUUGUUAGGUCUUGUCUUGGCUGGAGAAGUAGCGGAAUUCGAGAGAUUGAGAGGAAGCAUAGACGAAGUAGA